UCGGGUGUGGUGUACGGGACACCGCGCGUCUCCGUAACGAAAAUGUCUGACACUGAUGCCGCGCAGUCCGGGGUUCGACUCCCCGCACCCGAA
Molecule: non-coding RNA, 93 nt
Organism: Mycena latifolia
Lineage: Eukaryota; Fungi; Basidiomycota; Agaricomycetes; Agaricales; Mycenaceae
Source: the annotation of a GenBank genome assembly